UAGGGUGAUCAACCAUCCUGGUUUGCUCUGGACUGUCUCAGUGUCAGUUUUAAAAAGCACAGAAAGUCUGGCAAAUUGGGACAGAUGAUCACCCUAUUCCAGG
This 103-nucleotide microRNA precursor is filed under the name Marmota monax (woodchuck). Lineage: Eukaryota; Metazoa; Chordata; Mammalia; Rodentia; Sciuridae. The record is from RNAcentral.